Molecule: unclassified non-coding RNA, 240 nt
Filed under: soil metagenome
Description: partial contains 5.8S ribosomal RNA, internal transcribed spacer 2, and large subunit ribosomal RNA
Source: RNAcentral
AACCAUAGAAACCUGCGGAGUACCUGCGGAGGGAUCAUUAUAGUAUAUGGAAUCUCCAUUCUAUAAACCCACUCUGCGUAUCUUGUAACUGUUGCUUCCAUGGGACUUGGUUCCGCCACACCGGCUUCACGGCUGGUGAGCGCCCAUGGAAGGAGAAGCAAAACUCUUCUUUGAAAUGUAGUCAGUCUGAACAAGUUUUUAUAAACGUUAAAACUUUUAACAAUGGAUCUCAGAUCGGAA